Molecule: long non-coding RNA, 5742 nt
Organism: Gallus gallus (chicken)
Lineage: Eukaryota; Metazoa; Chordata; Aves; Galliformes; Phasianidae
Exons: 2
Source: RefSeq, a predicted model, not a curated record
GACGGGACGCGCGCGGCAGCGGUACCAGGCCCGGCCCCGGCUUGUGACCGCUGUGAGGAGAGAAAAUGGCGCGGGGCCGGGAAGCAGCGGCGCUCUCUGCCGCCUCCACCCGCGCGGCGGGCCUACCCGCAGUCAGCUCCUUGUAUUUCGCUUUUCGAGCCUGGUGUUCUCCUUAGCUCAGAGUUGGCCCCGCUUAGUUUCCUCCUUCCUCAGAGGCGCUGAGGUGAAGCCCUGGGGCGCUGCGCGGGGAUGGCCCAGGCCCACCUGCGGCCCUCAGUGCUGAGCAGCGCCUCCAGCUCCCGGAGCCCUCCCAGAGCCCCGGGCUGUGCCUGCCUGCCGCCGAGGCACCACACGCCCACCAGCGGCUGCGCAGCGUUACAGGGACAGCGGCACAGCACUGCUUUGGGCCACCAAGGUCGGGCAGGCCUCAGGCUGACGAUGCGGCAGGCACUGAAUGCAGUGGUAGGCAUUGAAAAUUGGAAGCAAAAAUGUCAUCAGCAGCGAUCUGCUGUAACGACGCAGCAUUGCACCACCACGCUUGUGAUGGAAGUGCACACAGUAGCUCUCCUCAGCAUUUUUUUUUUGUUACCUGUUAAAACCCGAGCCAAAUGUUUAAAAACGUGGAGUAGAGCAGAUGGAAAUGACUCAAAGUCCUUUGUUACUGACAAGACGCCUGCUUUGUGGUGAAUUUCUGUCAGCAGAAGCAUACUUUAUUUGUAACAGUAUUAUAAGGAAUUCUUCCCGUCAGAACUACACCCUUCUCAUACAAUUUGCACACAGUUGGAGCCCAGCAGGUCUUCCUGCCCACCAAACCCCAUCUCCCUGCUGCUGCUCGGCACCCUGUGGAGGAAGUGGGACUGAUGUGCCCCAGGAGCUGCCACAUUUAUGCAGCUGCAGCCAAAACUUGCUCAAAGCAGCCAUGGCCGUGUGCUUGCCCCGGGUACAUCGCAGCCUCACGCCGACCUCAGCCCUCACCCCAACACUCUCCAUCCCCAUGGGACCCAUGUCCCAUGGUCCCUUUUGCCACACCUGGGGACUGAGAGCUGGGCUGGAUUCUUUCCACCUUCACACCAUGGCCUACAACUAAGGACUCACAGAUGAAGUUGUUCCCUGGUUGCUGUACAGACCCCGAUCUGCUCGCUCUCAUUGUUCACUCCAGGGACCAAACAAGCCAGCAGACAUUUGAGACAUCAAAGCAAAAAUUCAGUAGGUCUAAUUCAAAACACAUGCAUGGAAGAGCCUUGCUGGCCGGGACAAUGCCAUGUCACAGAGCCACCUACAGAGAACCACUGUACACCUUGGCACUGCCGCAUUGUUUUCUGAAAGUGCAAAGCAUUACUGAAUGUGUAAGAAAAGAAACAGGCAAACAUUCCUGCAGGGGUUUGAAGGGAGGUAAAUCCACGGCCUGGCAGCCUGAAUGGCACUGUGGUUAAUGCAUCUCAGUGACAGGUGCUACAGGAGCACUUGCAGAACUCGGGCACUGCAGUAGAAGCCGUUGGCAGAAACCUGGGCAAAAAGCUGUAACUUGCUUAAUCACUGGCAGAAAAAAAAAAAAACAAGAUAGCAGUGUUGGCAGUAAUUAAGGUCAGAAACAUCACAAAGAAAAGGCAGAAUAGCAGCAGCAGCAAAGCCUCCCACAAGGGCUGCAGCACCUGAGGGACAACGGGGCCAUGGGCACAGUGGGAAGAAAGCGAGAGCAUCGCUCCCUGCUUGGGGACGGUCCCGGAGCACUGUGGCAUGUGGCCACAUGGUUGUGUCACAGUGUGACGAGCUGCAGGAGCACAACUUGCAGGACCCACAGUUCCAGGCUGCCUACAGCCAUUCAAAGCUGCCUGGUUUUCCUCAAGGGCAGCAUCCAGAGGAUGGCUCUCCGUGCCUUGUUUUUCUGCCACUUUCCCUUCUCUAUUUUCCAUUCUCCUUAAUAGAAAAAGGACUUUUCACACACUUUUAGCUCUUAGGUGAGUUGCCUGCCUCCAUGCCCUCCUGUCCACAAAGAAUAUAUUCUUCUAAUUCAGGUAAGUCCAACCCUUAGCACCCAGGGAUACCCCAUCAGGGGAAACCCAGAGGUCUGUGCUGAGCACAUCCCUCCUGAACAGCCCUCCACUGGCAGUGGGUACCACACAGGCAUGGGACAGCCAUGAGCUUUUCUUAAGGCCACCUGGGCUGAAAGCAGCUCCCUAAACACAGACAAGAGACUGUGUUUAGGAUUCUUUGAGCUCAUGUGUGGCCCCUGUGCCUGCUGCCCAGGGCUGCACAGCACCGUGCCCCUUCAAGCAGCAGCUGCUUGGGGAUGCACAUGGCUCAGGAGAACCCCAAAAUCUUCGGAGGAUUUUCCCCAUGCCAACAUGAGCAGCACAGCAUGAUGGAAACCACAGGCCCUGUGCAGGGGCUGAGGCUUUGCAGGAUGUGUCAUCUCUCAGCUGCAGCGCUGUGGCUUCACCCAGCAGCAUCCCCAGCUCACAGCCUGGCUUUCACCUCCCCCCAAGAUCUGAACCUGGACAGUCCCAAGAACAGGGUCAGGUCCAGAACUGGCUGCCAGUUUUUGAUGGCUCUGUACAACCAGGGUCCCCACGGGCAUGCUCACCGCCAGGAACCCCAGCACUCAGUUCUGCCCUACCUGCACAGAGCUGCCAGAGACUGGGCAGUGUCUGCCAGCACCUGGAGGCUAUGGAGUGUGCAGAGUGAGAGCAGCAGAACAGUCCUGGGCACACAGCAAGGACUGCAGAACAAGGAAACUCAGCUGCAGGGAUCCCUUUGCUGGAGAACGCUGUAGUUUUGUGCCUGUGCAGAAACUAGGUGGCCCAAGAGGUGAAGCAGCUUUGCAGAGAAACCUGUCCUGGCAUUAAAAGAGAGAAACCAUGGAUUAGAAACAGGUUUUGCCUUGCAGCUUUAGAGGCGAUGGGGUUGAAAAGAAUUAUCCAACACCUGCUAAACAGUUCAGCAGCCCAGACUUACACACAGCAUCCUUCAGGAGCUCUGCUCUCCAGGUCCUGGAUUUCAGAGCUGCCACAUCCCUGGGGUGACCACGGCUGCUCCAGGAGCCGGCCUGCAGACACAGAACCCCAGGAAUUGAGGGAAGUCUCCCUCUAUUUGGAGGGGAGGCAAAGGGAAGUGGCCUGCAAAGAGGCACAGGAAGAAGGGUGAGAAGCCAGCAGCGACCUCAGCAUGGCAAGGAUCAGACAGCUCCAUAGAGCAGGACAGGCUGUGCCACCACCCCUGCAGCCCUUUCUCCCAUGCAAGACAGCAGCCCUGCAGCAAGGAGAGGGGCUCAUCCCUGCUGACCCCAGCUGCAGGUUAAGAUCACUCUGGUGUCCCACUGUUAGUGAGAGGCCAGCGUUUGCCCUUUGAUUUAGUUAUGCACCGACAAAGAUUCAGAAGUGUUGGAAGUGCAAUUUUUUGCCACCGACUAAAAAUAGCCGAGCGAAAUUCCAGAGCUGCCUUUCAGCGCCGCCGGCUGCGCUCAGCUUAACAGGACAAUGGCAGCUGUAGGCUGAUGGUGACAACACGCAGGCCGGGCUCCAGCACCCUGAAUAACGAGUUCUAAAGGGCAAAAUUUGGCUGUAAUUACAGCUAUGCAAAAAGCAGUAUUUAAAAACACUAUUAUCUAAAUACCUGAACAUGCAUUGCCAACUUAACACUGGACAGGGGGAUGCAAUAAGAGUGGGACAGACUUUGCACAAAAUAAAAAUUCACCCAGCAAAUCCAUAGAUCCCUUCCAGGAGGAUGCUCAGUUAGCAGCCCGCAGUACAGCAGCGAUGCUGGGAGCCACGCUGCACGGCUUUUAAGCACAAACCACCCACCCUAUGAGCUGCUGCGGUGGCACGUGGUCACUUCUGAGCUCUGCAGAGUGAUGUCCUGUGCACACGCCAGGCAGAAUAGGUGCCUGUCACCAACCUGAGCCCGUGGCACUAUUCAGGGUGAAAAAAAAAGGACUAAGUCAGUGCUUUCAAAUGAGACAGUCCUAGUGCUAACGCUGACCCUUGCAACUCAAACAGAAGCGAGCCUGCAACAAAAGCACUUUCCGAAGGGCUAAAGGGAUAGGUACCCUUAUGUCAGCAGUUACAGGCAAUAGCUUCAUCACUUUUCUCCUCAGUGGCCUCAUCCUUCUGCUGACAUGUCCCUGGGUGACGUUAGGGACCCGAGUGCAAAAGUGCCAGACACACACAGUAAGGGGACCCAGCCCCGCUCAUGUGGCCGCUCUGCAAAGCAGACCCAGUUGUGUUUUCUCACUGAAACGUGAAAGAGAAGAGAUGUGAGAGGCAGCCAUGUAGAUCAGCAUGGGAAGUAACAGCAGUUUCCAGUCACGUCUGGCAUGGAGCUCCUGUGACAGUGAACUAGAGAGCUCUCGGGCAUCCCUCCACAACAGCCAGGCUCUGCCGCUCCUCUUUUCUCCUUAGAAUGCAAAACUGAACAUCAGAAACCACGUUUGCUGGUUGUGUCAUUAAAAGGUUAAUUGAGGAAUGUUUGCUCUUCCUGAAAACACACAUCCACAGCCCGGUUACAGCAAGCGGUGAGGCCGGGUGCACAUUUCCUGCUUCUCCCAUGACGUGCCCUGACCGAUGGGAUGCCUCAUUUCAUGCUGAUCUCAGCUCAACGCUUUGAUCUGCACCACAAGCUGAACACAGUCAGCUUUUUGUACCAGGGCUGCAGACAGCAUGGGAUGCACACAGCAAAGCAUUUUGUGCAUCAUUUUUAUCUUAUCAGCAGAAAUGCCACAGCUCCACAGCCUCCAGCAGCCAGGGACCCGAGAACCACCAGCCUAUAUAGCACAGACCAAGGAGCAAGGCAGGGAGCUCAGAAGCUGAACUCCAUAUAAAACUGCCCCAGGGAAGCAGCAAAUCUUAUUGCAGUAUUAGCCUACAUGGAAAGGAAGAGCAGCCCAGUAGCUGCAGCACACAUCCUGUUGCCCUGGCACUGCAGCACAAGGGGAGGUGCUCAGCUUCAGGCAAUCACUGCCAGGUGAGAGCAGGGGAGGGUGAUUUAAAGCAUCUGUUAGAACUCCUGCUAUUGAUGGCAUAUUUUACAUAUUGCCCUCUGGAAAAGCCAUCAAUAUAUCUAUUUUGAAUACAGGAAAAACCUCAGCAGGUAGGCCAGAGUACAGCAAGCACAGCUCUGAUCUGGGUUAGUCCUGCACCGAAGGGUUGGGUAACAGGGGCCUCUCAGCACUCCAGUGAUCUGUGAUGGGAGCGCUAAGCACCACUUCCUGCACCUGCAAAGGAUUUUUUCAGCUCCAUAGUUCUAAAAGCCCACCUUUGGUAACACAGCACGACAUCAUCUGAACUUUUUAUUGGUGUGGUGUUGGUUUUUUUUAUCCCCCUCUGAAGUCAGAUUUCUGCCACAGCUUAAGAGAGCAGCUCAGCAUGAUGAGGAAACAAGACGUUCCGAAGCUCAGCUACGUAGCAGCCACCUUAAAGCUCACAUACGGUUCUGAAGCCUUGCAGGCACAGAACAGAGUAAAGCAGGCGUUUCCUGGACUAAAGGAAAUAAAUCAGGAGUCCAUACUAUAUUCUUAAAUAUGGUUUAAUACUCUUCUCCAUUUCUGUACAUCACAACACCAAGAUAUCACUGCUUGGGAUCUCUCUGCAGAGGCUAUAUAGUAUGCGAAGGCUAGGAUUUUUCACCCCCAUUUAACGUGUUUGUAUGUGUAAGUGUAAUACAUAUCAGUAUAUAUUGAUAUACACAUCAAUAUAUAAUGCAAUAUAUAUCACUGAAGAGAACACAUUGAUUAAAGAAAUACAAAAA